Long non-coding RNA from Oncorhynchus keta (chum salmon), 1412 nucleotides. RefSeq lists it as uncharacterized. Lineage: Eukaryota; Metazoa; Chordata; Actinopteri; Salmoniformes; Salmonidae. The transcript has 3 exons. The record is from RefSeq and is a predicted model, not a curated record.
GUUCGAGUGUGAAGAGAACUCUCCAAUAAACGGUAAGCAGACCUCAAUUUAAAAGCGAAAACGUAAUGAAAAUACAAAUAGGGCAUUGAAAGAACAUUAUUGUAACUCUUAUGACGCACACGGUUAAUACAUGUUAAAGACUGUAGGCGAAUUGUGGGAUCUGCUCUACGUGUUUUACAGCCUUCAGAAGUUCUAAAAAGUAUAAUUGAAUUGAUAUGGAAUUGAUUUGAAAAUAUUCGUUUUCCUGCCUGUCUAGGCAAGCCGGGGCAAGCACCUAGUCUAAAAGUAGACAAUUACAAUGAUAAAGUGGCAGCAUUUAAGGGGGAACCACUGCCAAAGUAGGCAAUUGUACACUUGAGCACCCAAAUUAGAAUAAUACAUUUCCAUGUCAAUGAUCGCACAAUUGCACAGCACUGCAUGUUCAAACAUGUUGCGUGUGUCGUGUGCAAUGUAUCAAAUAAAACAUUAUGUUAUUACUGCAGUGCUAUAGGGUGAGUAUAAUUUGGUUGUGUCCAACAUAAUUAAUUUGGAUAAAUAAUCAAAUAUCAUGGUCCAGCAAAUGAACAUUGAUAGAGAAAAUUUGACCACGAAAUAUUAUAUUACAAAUAUCCUAUUCUCUUUCUAAUGGGAAUUUGUUGUGCUGCAUGAAAUAGGAUAGAAAACGUUAUUGGCCUAUGUUUUACAUAUAUAUAUUAUUUACAUGUUUAGCUUACUGUUUUCUUAUCUGUCCAUUAGAUGUCCCAGGGUGGGGUUUGCCCUAUGUUACUUAUUUAAGAACAAGAACAUAUCAUUUAUUAUAAUUGACCAAUAAAAAGCAACCCAAGAUAGACAGCCAAGCGACUUGGCCCGCAGGGGUUCAUUCCAGUAUUCCCACAUCCAGAACACUGUUAUUGUUGACAAUCACUGCCUGUUAUUUCUUUAGGAAAUACUGUCUUCAUUCUAUUCCAUGAACUGCAUUGUUGGUUAAGGGCUUGACAGUUAGACAUGUCCUGUAUCCUGUGGGUCCGUGUGUGACGUGGGAUGAGACAAGACAGAGGUAGUGAGUUGAGACCAGCAGUGUAGCAGCAGCAGUGGCGCCAGGGCACUGACCUUCUCAGACACAACCAUCACUCAACAAUCUGCUUAGCCGGUCCCCUCCUCCUCCAUCCCCCUAUUCCUGUCUCACCCACAGCUCUCUCUCUCUCUCCAUCCCCCUACCCCUCUCCACCCAUCUCUCUCUUCCUCUGAUGAUGAGCCAGACCCAGGCUAUAUGGAAGUCUCUGGUUCUCGGCAGCACUAGUCUUCAAACGUCACUUACCCUAUAUUAAGCAGUUUGUUUUUGCUACUUGUUUUGGUAGUUUGUGUUGAUUAAACCAAUUUAAUUGUGUUUCUCCCUCUGCUCUGUCUCCCGCCCCCAUCUCCUCUGCUCUGCC